GGAGAUGUGGCUUAGUUAGUAGAGCAUUUGCCUAACAUGCAUGAAGCCCCAGGUUCAAUUCCUAGCAUUUCAU
This 73-nucleotide transfer RNA is filed under the name Mesocricetus auratus (golden hamster). It matches the Rfam family "tRNA". Rfam says of the family: Transfer RNA (tRNA) molecules are approximately 80 nucleotides in length. Their secondary structure includes four short double-helical elements and three loops (D, anti-codon, and T loops). Lineage: Eukaryota; Metazoa; Chordata; Mammalia; Rodentia; Cricetidae. The record is from Rfam by way of RNAcentral.